CAGUCUUGAGUAUGUCUUUAUCAGCAAUGUGAGAAUGAACUAAUACAAUGGGCAAAUAUUUAGGAAAAUUUUACUCAAUACAAAGAAAUCCUGGCCUCAAAACUGACAUGAUUUUUACAUAUACAAUAUCAUGUACAAAUAGUUUAUAACUUAAUCCACAUUCUCUUCUUUCAUAAGCAUAUAAGAAGAAUACAAGCAUACCUGUGGUAUGGGAAAUGGAAAGACUACUUACUAUUCCCAAUUUUGAGUAAACCUAGCUUUCAUUUGUGAUUAUAAGAAAUGUUUUUCCUAGUAAAAUUCUGACCAUAAUAUUUCUAAAAAUUAACACUUCAUUCAUUGAUUCACUAACUCAUUCAUACAGCUAACGUUUAUUGAGCACCUACUAGGUUCUAAGAAUGUAUUAGUGGAAAAAGCACAAAGAUAUAUAGAUCUGGAUCACUGACCUCUCCUACUACUCAGAAAGGAAUCUGACCCAUUAUGUAACAGCCAAGAAUGGUGAGCUACUGAAACACUCUUUCACCUCUUGGUAUUUCAGAGGAUGAAUAUGAGGAAGAGGAUGCUAUGUACAUGAUUAGUGGACAGACAGGUGGCUGUUUUAAGAACCACCUCUAGACAAAAUAAUUUGCAAUAGCUCUGAUAAGAAAGAUGUCAACACAAUUAGCUUUUGCAUGCAUUUUAAAAAUUUUGGUAUGGACUUUCCAGUGAAGGUUUUGUAAACUGAUAUCUCAUCCAUACCGAAGGAUGGUACCAUGUUUUUGCCGGUGGUACUCUAAUGUUCAAAUUUGUGAAGUAAAGUAUGUGGUUUACUUGUGAUGCAACUCCUGCAUUUGUUGCCAAUGGCAAUGGUUGUUUUCUUCAUUAGGUUUCAUAUGGUUGGUCAGGUUAUGUCAUGAGAAUUGUAUUGAGAAAAAUUAUGAGUUUGUUGAGUGCCAGCUCUCUGCAGUGAGAAUGGUUGGGGGGUGAGGGUGGGGGGAACUGGCAGUGUUUCUUCUGGUAGGUGAACAGAAAUGCAGACUCGUGGGCACUCUACACAAGCCUUUCCACAUCAACUGGCCUCCCCUCUCCCCAUCCCCGGCAUCUAUUUUCUAGCCUUUAGAAAAUUGCAUACAUGUGUCUGGAAAGUUCCAUCGAUCAGCUCUUUCUGCAGCACUCCACAUUUCUGUGGCUUCAGAAAACCUUGAAUUGUAAUCUCCCUCUUCUCUCAGGAUGCAUCACUGAGAAAAACUUAAAUCAACUAUAAUUUUCAACAGAUUCUAAACAGGGAUUUAGAAAGAUAAGGUGGUUACUGAAUUGAAUUAAAAUAAAUUCAGGCUGUAGUCCAAUUGCUUCCAGCUCUUCCCCUCCCUCUGUGGGCUAACAAGUGUUUCCAAAGCCAUAGGGCAUUAAGAAUCCUGAAACAGCUAAUUAACAGGGCUGCUCUACAUCACAUGAAGCAUGUGGGUUCCAGGCAGCUGUAAAACCUCAGCUUCCUGAGGCUAUCCGAGUGAUGAUGAAGCACUUGGAAUUGGAUCUUGACAUUCUGCUACCUGCCUGUGGCAGAAAAUAACCUUUUUAACAGGGACUUUAGGCGAGGAUAGUACUUUGGGCACAAAAAAGUCUCAUUGCCAUGACUAUGAAAAAGUACAUGAACAUUUCCUCAUGUUCAGACUGUGACUCAUGACUGGCCUGUUAACGGACAGAGGAAGCCUCAGGCGUUCUCUUGACACAUCGUCCAACCAAGUGAAAUACGGGAUUGGUGAGAUGCUUUUUCAUAGCUUUGAAUCAAGUAUCUUCCAAAAGGCAGAUAAAACCAAGAUAAAAGAGGUCAUUGAUGCCCUUUUUCAACAUUUUUUUUUCCACCUAUCUAAAGAUUUCGCCAGGAGAAAUAGAGGGCUAGCCUACUAUAUUUCACAGGGAAAUAAACAAAAGCGAUAAUAAAAACUUAGCAUUUUUUCAAAAACAUUGGACAUGUUGACAUGAAUUGGUCUCAUCUCACAUAGAUCUGAGUAUAAAUUAUGUGCUUUAUUAAUAAAAUAUUCUGUCACACUGACAAUGUCUUAUCUCUUGCCUCCAGCCUAUAAUCCAUUUCCCAUAACGUUAUAACAAAAGUCUUUCUAAAACGUGUCAUUCCUCUACUUGAAUAACCUUGAUUUCUUCCUCUAUUUCAUGGUAGAUAAUCUGCACAUUUCUUAUGCGCCUUAUACCAAGGCUUUCACUACCGGAUUCACAGCUCUGUAACUUCGUCUCAGGGGACUGGGGAGAAUAUUCUGGAGCUACAGAAAUUUAGUUGCCGACAUGCCAUGUCCAUUUAAACCUAUUACCACAUCUUCCCAUUCACUUUCUUUCUGCUGAGUUCUUCGUUUUAUCUUAAGGUGCUGAUUCAAUGUCACUUGCUUUGGGAAUACUUUCUUCACCUCUCAAACAGAAGGAAUCACACCCUUUGUCACUUGUAUUCACUACUCUAUCACCCAUACACAUGGGUAGGUCUGUGACUUACCUUUUUGUCCCAGAUGUCUUUAUUAUCAUCUGUAAUAUACAGAAGGAAGGUGAUAAAUGACUUGCUGAAGGAUAGAUGGACAGAUAAAUGGAUGGAAUUAGAUCAUUGAACUAUACCUAAAAGCUCUUAUAAUUCUAUAUUUUUAUGAUUUAUUUUUAAUGAGGAGCUUUUGAAGUGAUUACUAGAAAAUAUACCAAUUAGCGACCACAAUUAAUAUUCAGUGACAUUUAAAAUUUCAAGUGAGAUUUUAAUUCACUCCUUGAAUUUGUAUGUCUUUUAUAUAGGCAUCUCACUACAACGACCUUAGAGGUGGCAUAAACUGAAAUAUAAAAGCUGGGUCUAUCAAGCAACUAAAAUCUGAUUUGAUGGUUAAAAGCUGGAAAAAUCCAAGAAUGAAUGAAAGAGCUUGUAGAUAGGCCCAGACAGUGGGCAGCAUGGCUCUUCUCCAGCCUGGGACACAGCUCAUCACUCAGGGUGGAUCCUGGAGAGAAGCUGCCUGAGUUCAGCCUUUGCCUAUCCCAGUACUCACUGUGUGCACCCAGAGGAGCUUCUGUGUAUCUGUGAGACCCUGUUUCCUCAUCUGCAAUACCAGGACUCAUAUCCUAGCGGGGCUCUGAAAACUAGAUCAGCUAAUGUAAGGCUUGGCCAUGUAUUUUCUCAAGAAUCGUUGCUGUGAAAGAGCCAGUGAAGUCACAGAGGGUAAAGUCAAUGGUCAACCUUCCUGAUUAAUGAAUAUUGAUUGAGCAUUCACCAUUUAAUAGUUAGCUCCUUCUAAGUCUAAUCGUUUUUAGUUUCUCCUGACACCUGUCAUGUAAGAGGCUCUAUAUGUGAGGAUAGACUUAGGGGGCAGUUGGUUCCUCUUUUUGGACACAGAACAGGAAGAAUAAAGAGAUCUCAGAAGGAAAAGGAAAGUGGGAGGAGGCUGGGUCUGUGGGUUCCCCGGUGGAUCACGCUGAAAGAAUACCUGGCAGACACUUAAUCUCUGCGGCAAAUGCAUGAAAGUAGAAGGAUGAAGCCAACUUUCCAAAAACUUUUAUGAAAUUACUUCAGUGAGAAAACCUAUUAAAUAAAUUACAGCCAUUCUAUAAAAA
This 3567-nucleotide long non-coding RNA is filed under the name Homo sapiens (human). RNAcentral's name for it is "HSALNT0326802". The record is from RNAcentral. Lineage: Eukaryota; Metazoa; Chordata; Mammalia; Primates; Hominidae.